AAUAGAUACCCGGGUAGUCCACGCCGUAAACGAUGGGCACUAGGUCCUUGGGGGAGCGACCCCUUGAGGGCCGGCGCAAACGCAUUAAGUGCCCCGCCUGGGGAGUACGGCCGCAAGGCUGAAACUCAAAGGAAUUGACGGGGGCCCGCACAAGCGGUGGAGCAUGUGGUUUAAUUCGACGCAACGCGAAGAACCUUACCUGGGCUUGACAUGGCCGGGAAUUUCCGGGGAAACCUGGAAAGCUCUUCGGAGCUCGGUCACAGGUGCUGCAUGGCUGUCGUCAGCUCGUGUCGUGAGAUGUUGGGUUAAGUCCCGCAACGAGCGCAACCCUUGUCACUAGUUACCCAGCGGGUAAAGCCGGGAACUCUAGUGAGACUGCCGGUGCCAAACCGGGAGGAAGGUGGGGGACGACGUCAAGUCAUCAUGGUCCUUACGGUCCAGGGGCUACACACGUGCUACAAUGGAUGGGGACAAUGGGUCGCCAAAGCGCAAGCUGGAGCCAAUCCCAUAAAUCCAUCCUCAGUUCGGAUUGUCGUCUGCAACUCGACGGC
Molecule: ribosomal RNA, 551 nt
Filed under: uncultured bacterium
Lineage: Bacteria
Description: bacterial SSU rRNA
Rfam family: Bacterial small subunit ribosomal RNA
Source: RNAcentral